GACGAACGCUGGCGGCGUGCUUAACACAUGCAAGUCGAACGGGCCUUGUCCCCUUUUUUUUUGGGGGUGGGGUUAGUGGCGAACGGGUGAGUAACACGUGAGUAACCUGCCCCUCACUUCUGGAUAACCGCUUGAAAGGGUGGCUAAUACGGGGUGUUCUGGCCUGCUCGCAUGGGUGGGUUUGGAAAGAUUCGACCGGUUUUGGUUGUUUUGGUGGGGGAUGGGCUCGCGGCCUAUCAGCUUGUUGGUGGGGUGAUGGCCUGCCAAGGCUUUGACGGGUAGCCGGCCUUAGAGGGUGGGCGGUCACACUGGGACUGAGACACGGCCCAGACUCCUACGGGAGGCAGCAGUGGGGAAUAUUGCACAAUGGGCGCAAGCCUGAUGCAGCGACGCCGCGUGAGGGAUGGAGGCCUUCGGGUUGUGAACCUCUUUCGCCAGUGAAGAAGGUCCUGCUCUUUGUGGUGGGGUUGACGGUAGCUGGGUUAAUGAAGCGCCGGCUAACUACGUG
RNAcentral lists this ribosomal RNA (508 nucleotides) under uncultured bacterium. Its description in RNAcentral is "partial 16S ribosomal RNA". It matches the Rfam family "Bacterial small subunit ribosomal RNA", at positions 28 to 507 of the family's 1533-position model. The record is from RNAcentral.